This 104-nucleotide small nucleolar RNA is filed under the name Aotus nancymaae (Ma's night monkey). RNAcentral describes it as "Small nucleolar RNA U13 (ENSANAG00000004949.1)". It matches the Rfam family "Small nucleolar RNA U13". The record is from Rfam by way of RNAcentral. Lineage: Eukaryota; Metazoa; Chordata; Mammalia; Primates; Aotidae.
AUCCUUUUGUAGUUUCUAAGCGAGAUGAUUGGGUGUUCACGCGCAUGUGUGAGAUGCGCCUUCCUCAAACCUUGCUACGACAUAGGCACAUGACCCUUCUGACA